RNAcentral lists this ribosomal RNA (253 nucleotides) under uncultured bacterium. Its description in RNAcentral is "partial 16S ribosomal RNA". It matches the Rfam family "Bacterial small subunit ribosomal RNA", at positions 524 to 776 of the family's 1533-position model. The record is from RNAcentral.
UACGAAGGGGGCUAGCGUUGUUCGGAAUUAUUGGGCGUAAAGGGCGCGUAGGCGGUGCGGUAAGUCACCUGUGAAAUCUCCUGGCUCAACUGGGAGCUUGCAGGCGAAACUGCCGUGCUGGAGUGUGGGAGAGGUGCGUGGAAUUCCUGGUGUAGCGGUGAAAUGCGUAGAUAUCAGGAGGAACACCUGUGGCGAAGGCGGUUGCCUGGAGCUUUGCUGACGCUGAGGCGCGAAAGCGUGGGGAGCGAUCCGG